CCUACGGGAGGCAGCAGUGAGGAAUAUUUGUCAAUGGACGAGAGUCUGAACCAGCCAAGUAGCGUGAAGGAUGACUGCCCUAUGGGUUGUAAACUUCUUUUAUAUGGGAAUAAAAUGUUCCACGUGUGGGAUUUUGUAUGUACCAUAUGAAUAAGGUUCGGCUAACUCCGUGCCAGCAGCCGCGGUAAUACGGAGGCUCCGAGCGUUAUCCGGAUUUAUUGGGUUUAAAGGGAGCGUAGGUGGAUUGUUAAGUCAGUUGUGAAAGUUUGCGGCUCAACCGUAAAAUUGCAGUUGAAACUGGCAGUCUUGAGUACAGUAGAGGUGGGCGGAAUUCGUGGUGUAGCGGUGAAAUGCUUAGAUAUCACGAAGAACUCCGAUUGCGAAGGCAGUUCACUGGACUGCAACUGACACUGAGGCUCGAAAGUGUGGGUAUCAAACAGGAUUAGAUACCCUGGUAGUC
Molecule: ribosomal RNA, 460 nt
Filed under: uncultured bacterium
Lineage: Bacteria
Description: partial 16S ribosomal RNA
Rfam family: Bacterial small subunit ribosomal RNA
Source: RNAcentral